CGGUAAUUCCAGCUCCAAUAGCGUAUACUAAAGUUGUUGCAGUUAAAAAGCUCGUAGUUGGAUUUCUGCGGGGACGGAGCGGCCGGACGCAACUUGCGUCUCGAGCUAGCGCUUUCCCCACAUCCUGCCGCGAACCGUGCUACCAUUAGUUUGGUGGCGCUGGGGAUCGGCUCGAUUACUUUGAGAAAAAUAGAGUGUUCAAAGCAGGCCACACGCCUUGAAUAAGUUAGCAUGGAAUAAUGACUAAGGACUUUGGUUCUUUUCGUUGGUGUUCGGGACUGAAGUAAUGAUUGAUAGGGACAGUUGGGGCGGUCCGUAUUCCAAAGCGAGAGGUGAAAUUCUUAGACCUUCGGAAGACGAACAGCUGCGAAAGCGUUCCGCAAGGAUGUUCCCUUUGAUCAAGAACGAAAGUUAGGGGAUCGAAGACGAUCAGAUACCGUCGUAGUCUCAACUAUAAACUAUAGCAGCUAGGGAUCGGCCAACGUUUAAUUAUUCGACUUGGUCGGCACCUUAUGAGAAAUCAAAGCAUCUGGGUUCCGGGGGGAGUAUGGUCGCAAGGCUGAAACUUAAAGGAAUUGACGGAAGGGCACCACCAGGCGUGGAGCCUGUGGCUUAAUUUGACUCAACACGGGAAAACUUACCAGGUCCAGACAUAGGAAGGAUUGACAGAUUGAUAGCUCUUUCUUGAUUCUGUGGGUGGUGGUGCAUGGCCGUUUUUAGUCUGUGAAGUGAUUUGUCUGCUUAAUUGCGUUAACGGACGAGACCCCAGCCUGCUAAAUAGCGCGGCCGAGCUUUGCUCGGUACGAGCUUCUUAGAGGGACUGUUGGUGUUUAACCAAAGUCAGGAAGGCAAUAACAGGCCUGUGAUGCCCUUAGAUGUUCUGGGCCGCACGCGCGCUACACUGUUGGAUUCAGCGAGUCUUAUCCUUAACCGAAAGGUUUGGGUAAUCUUUUGAAAGUCCAACGUGAUGGGGAUUGACCAUUGCAAUUAUUGGUCAUGAACGAGGAAUUCCUAGUAAGCGCGAGUCAUCAGCUCGCGUUGAUUACGUCCCUGCCCUUUGUACACACCGCCCGUCGCUACUACCGAUUGAAUGGUUUAAUGAGACAUUCUGAUUGGCGCUGCCGAAGCUGGUAACGGCUUUGGCGGAUUGCCGAAAAGUUUUUCAAAUUUGAUCAUUUAGAGGAAGUAAAAGUCGUAACAAGGUAGCCG
Molecule: ribosomal RNA, 1209 nt
Filed under: uncultured stramenopile
Lineage: Eukaryota
Description: SSU rRNA
Rfam family: Eukaryotic small subunit ribosomal RNA
Source: RNAcentral